Molecule: non-coding RNA, 72 nt
Organism: Callorhinchus milii (elephant shark)
Lineage: Eukaryota; Metazoa; Chordata; Chondrichthyes; Chimaeriformes; Callorhinchidae
Source: the annotation of a RefSeq genome assembly
UCCCUGAUGGUCUAGUGGUUAGGGUUCGGUGUUUUCGCCGCCGCUGCCCGGGUUCGAUUCCCGGUCGGGGAC